AGAAUGAACGUUGGCGGCGUGGAUUAGGCAUGCAAGUCGUACGGGCCGCAAGGCCAGUGGCGCAAGGGUGAGUAAGGCGACGGUAACCAACCCCAAGAUUGGGUAUAGCCGCGGGAAACUGCGGGUAAUCCCCAGCGACGUCCGGGAGGGGCAUCCUUCCUUGACCAAAGCUCCGGCGUCGUGGGACGGGCUGUCGUGGUAUUAGCUUGUUGGCGGGGUAAUGGCCCACCAAGGCUCUGAUGCCUACCGGGCGUGCGAGCGUGGCCCGGCACACUGGGACUGAGACACUGCCCAGACUCCUACGGGAGGCUGCAGUCGAGAAUCUUCGGCAAUGGGCGCAAGCCUGACCGAGCGACGCCGCGUGGAGGACGAAGCCCUUCGGGGUGUAAACCACUGUCAAGGGAAGAAAGUUCUGAUCUACCCUAGAGGAAGAGGCGGCUAACUCUGUGCCAGCAGCCGC
Molecule: ribosomal RNA, 460 nt
Filed under: uncultured bacterium
Lineage: Bacteria
Description: SSU rRNA
Rfam family: Bacterial small subunit ribosomal RNA
Source: RNAcentral